GACAGUCAGCAGUUGGUCUG
RNAcentral lists this microRNA (20 nucleotides) under Alligator mississippiensis (American alligator). RNAcentral's name for it is "ami-miR-2970-5p". Lineage: Eukaryota; Metazoa; Chordata; Crocodylia; Alligatoridae. The record is from miRBase by way of RNAcentral.